This is a long non-coding RNA of Hyla sarda, 663 nucleotides long. RefSeq lists it as uncharacterized. The record is from RefSeq and is a predicted model, not a curated record. Lineage: Eukaryota; Metazoa; Chordata; Amphibia; Anura; Hylidae. The transcript has 3 exons.
UGGCUUUAAAAAGACCACUAGGGGUCCCCAUACCAUCCAGAUCAUAAUGCUGUCCGGCUGCAGCAUCAUCUUUAUUCCAGGCUGGAACAAAGUCCAGAAAGUGAGGGCGGGACUAGCGCUCCUCUGUGCUCACUCCUGUCCUGUCUGUCAGACUGCAGCAUGAAAACAGAGAGGAGGGGUUUACAGAGCUGCCUGCAGUGGUUGAAUGAAGAGACCCAGCACAGCACAGCAGACUCAGGGAAGAAGUGAAUGCACGGUGAGGGAGGGCAGCCUCAGUGCUUGCCUCGGACACGCCCCCUUCCUGAGCAGUGGAUGUCAGAAUGAGUAAGCAGCAGUGAGGCAUUUUCGAGCCAAAUACAGAAACUAGACACAUAAAAAGAAAUGUAAAGAAUCUGCAUGACCUAGAACUUCAACAGAUCGUCUCCAUUCACCUGUGCACGUGACUAUAUAUCUCCUCCUUCAUUUGUGACGUCGUGCCGAGAUUUGGUGGUAACGUGAGUGAUGUCAUUACAAAGUACAAUUGGUGGCGCAAAAAGAACAAGCUCUCAUAUGGGUCUGUAGGCUAUUAGAAGGCGAGGAGAGAAAAAACUAAAGUGCAAAAAUCCCUGCAUCCUUAAAGGGGUUGUCAGAUGGAAAACAAUAAAUAAAUAAAAAAUCAACUGG